This 519-nucleotide ribosomal RNA is filed under the name uncultured bacterium. Its description in RNAcentral is "partial 16S ribosomal RNA". It matches the Rfam family "Bacterial small subunit ribosomal RNA", at positions 29 to 523 of the family's 1533-position model. The record is from RNAcentral.
AACGAACGCUGGCGGCGUGCCUAAGACAUGCAAGUCGUACGGAAAGGCCCCCUUCGGGGGGUACUCGAGUGGCGCACGGGUGAGUAACGCGUGGGUAAUCUGCCUUAGGGUCUAGGACAACCCCGGGAAACUGGGGCUAAUACUGGAUAAGACCACGAGCUCCUCGGAGCGUGCGGAAAAAGAUGGCCUCUCCUUGGAAGCUAUCGCCCUUCGAUGAGCCCGCGUCCCAUUAGCUAGUUGGUGAGGUCACGGCUCACCAAGGCUUCGAUGGGUAGCUGGUCUGAGAGGAUGAUCAGCCACACUGGAACUGAGACACGGUCCAGACUCCUACGGGAGGCAGCAGUGGGGAAUAUUGGACAAUGGGCGCAAGCCUGAUCCAGCAAUGCCGCGUGGGUGAAGAAGGCCUUCGGGUUGUAAAGCCCUUUUGUACGGGAAGAAAUCUUGUCGGUUAAUACCCGGUGAGGAUGACGGUACCGUAAGAAUAAGGACCGGCUAACUUCGUGCCAGCAGCCGCGGUAA